GGGAAGGAGACGCCAGGGAACUAGUUGGUUUGCUCAUGUGCGGCCCACCCCAGACGUCUGGGGUCCGGGGUCGAAGCCCACUUAAAGUACGUUCUUUUCUUCUUCGGUGAACCUUCUCUUCCAGAGCAUUCUUUGCGAGUUCCGCUGGCUUUACAGGAAGUGGGAUCUGCGCCUCUGCUCCAUCCUGGGUCGGGACAACCCCCUCCUCUCAACCGAGCUCCCUACCCUGGCAGGGGUCUCUGCUCUCUGGGGGCCCGGCUUCGGGGCUUGGACUGGAAGGAGUGAUGUGCGUUCGGGAGGCGCAGCGGAAAGCGGUGGGAACUUGGGCAGCGCUGAUGAUCCGGUGACGAUACCACCCCCUGGAUAUUUCGUCUUAGAAAGUUAAAGGAGCUCCUCGGCCACAGAGUACUAACUUAUGGAAGGCGGGGACCGUGGCACCUGGCAUAGGAAAUGUAAUAUUGUAACUCUGUUGAGAAAGGAAAUGAGUUCCGAAGAUACACAUCUCUACCAGAAAUGUUAUUACCAGAGGCAGAAAUAACACAAGCUACAAAGAACGUACUAAAAUGUUUUAGAAAGCGGGAGAAGGAAAUGGUUUAAAAAUAUAUUUAAAUCCAACUAAUAGCUCCUCAAAUAUGCAGGAGCAAUUGGGGUCGGAAGGAAAGCGGGGUGUUUAGAAGCUUUGGGUGUGUUUAAAUUUGGCGAGUUAGGGGGAAGAGACCCUUAUUCAAACUACUUUGGGAACUUUUACACCUGGUCCCUCCCACUUCCUUACCGGUAUAUUGUUUGGGGUAGAACGUGCAGAGAUAAAACGUUUAAAAUGAGUAUAAUACCUUUAAAGUCCUCAAUACUUUGUAUGCUUUGAGCUGCCUAGGCAAACAGAAGCUGUACCUGGAAAUAAUUCACACUGAACGUUCACUCGAAUGUAAAUUCACUGCCGAUUCUAAGUUUAAAAUGAUGUUCAUUAUAAAUCUUUAUUCCCCAAAGAAUCUCACUUCAAUUAGAAGUAACAUUGCACACUGUAGCACUGAUGCCUUCAAAGUGAGUUUAGGAUAAGAGAAUUCAGUUUAGAAUACCGUACUCCUAAAAGAAGGGUGUGAUAACAGUUAUCCACUAAGAGAGAUGCAAUACAAACCGGAAAUUACCACAACUUGUAAUUUCGGUUUUUAAUAUUUGUUUAAUGUCUGUCUAAGGUCUCUCUCCCUCUCUACACAAUAAGCUCUCUGAAGUCAAGGGCCAUAUUUGGUUUUUUUCUCUAUAUACCCGUCACCUAGUACUUGGCAUGGUAGUGUGCACUCAGUGACUUAUCAAAGGCAGGACCUGAAUCUAAGCUGCUGUGAGUGUAUGUUUCAUAAGUUAAAAGACAAGCUAACACUUCUUGAUUAAAAAUGUUGACUGAGUUAGUACAGCUUCUAAUCUACACUGGGUUCCUUUUAAUAAUUCUUAAUUUGGUAUCAUGCUCACUCCAGGGUUAAAGUUCAGGGGGUAGAUCAGACAUAGGCUUCAGGGCAACCCCCCCACACACACACAUGUUUAGAAGGAGUCGUGACACACUUUCCUAAAACGAACAAUUGUCCUUAAUUAUAAUGCUUAGGUAGUCUGUUUGCUGGCCUAAAUUUUUCAUUUGAAAUUAUCAUUACCCAUUGCCACUCACUUUACAUGUUUAGUGUCUGUAGCUCCAGUUCUUUCCAGAUAGAAGAUACACAAUUUAUAUAAAAGGAGUACAUUUUUUUUCCGGGGAGUUGGUAAUAGAUCUAAAUGCAGAUCGGCAAUCUAAUUGGCAAGAUAUGGUAGUUCUUAGUUAGGAGGUGUCAGAAAUUUAAUUUGCUGAACUAAGGAAAUAGUAAUGCAGCCAUCAAUACCAUUUCAACACAGACUAUUUAACAAUUUUUUGUGUGUAUUAUGAAAUAUAUUUAUAACCAAACACUGUAGGACUUAUACAUGAGACCUAUUUUAAACAGGAUAUUCAACAGCAGGUACGUAAUAUCCUGACUUGUUAUUAUUUUGGUAUAAGAAAAGUCUAAAAUAUUAUGGAGAUACUAGCUUUCAAUGUGUCAUGAAAUUCUCUUAGAGUCACUUUCUGAAUAAAGAAAUUUAUUUCUCUGUUCUGCAGCAGAGACUUGUGAGAGGAUUUGUGAAGCUUUAUACAGGGUUUUAGGUGAUCAAAUGUAAUUUCAAAAAUAGUUAUAAUUGAACAUUAUUUCAUUUAAGCGGUUUGGAGUAUUCUCAUGAUACAUACAUUAACUUGAAGACUGUGGAACCCCUCUUUAAUCUAGAAUAUGGAUCUUACAGUUUGUGUUACUGUUCGGGGAAUUAUGAGUGAUUUCUUGAGCAAAACUCUAGGCAUUAUCUACUGAAACAAGAAGCAGUUUUAUGUGUUGUUAAAUCUUAACUAAAGUGUAAUUUCUAUUUUUUAUA
This is a non-coding RNA of Delphinapterus leucas (beluga whale), 2415 nucleotides long. The record is from RefSeq and is a predicted model, not a curated record. Lineage: Eukaryota; Metazoa; Chordata; Mammalia; Artiodactyla; Monodontidae.